CCCUCUUAUACCCAGGUAGGAUCCUCCUGCACUCCCAGCUGUGAAGCACCAGCACUCACAGCCCCCUCAGGCUGUGAGAGGGUGAGAAAUCACCCUCCCCUCUGCGACAGACAGUGAAACCCCAUUUGACAUGCAGUACAGGAGGGGACGUUGGCAGAGCUUUGGGCAGGACGAGGAGUUUUGCUCAAAGAAAUGAGCAAGCAGGGAGAAAUGGAGAAACGGAGAAACGGAGAAUGUUCUCAUGAGCUAUGGGAUGGGGUGGAAACAGGGAUUUCCUCCUGCCUUUCAGCUGCAGCAAGAAUUCCAAGUGGGCGCCAGACUUGGUUAUAGCAGUGCCGUGCAGAAGAGGAAAUCCUGAGGAGAGCCCAGGGUGGCUCAUGGGUGAAGCCCCAGCUGCCAGGGGGAUGUCACCCUCAAGUCCCCCCUGUCUCCUCUUGCAGCAUCAGAACCCAAAGUGCCGUCGCCACUACAGGCCUUCCCAAGGCAGGGAGAUGGCCAGAUGCUGUCUGAACCCCUCCUCACUCCUCCCCCUCAAAGUUUUGGGCACUUUGGGGUAAUUUCAGGACUGGAAGACACACAGGUCUGAACAGAGGUGGCUCAGUUUGUGGCUUUCUAGGUGACAUCCAGGUAAACCUUUGCCCUAAGUAGACCCCAGCCACAAACAUCCAGGCACCCAUUAUUCCAGUCCCACCGAGGGCCCACCCCAAUUUUUGCCCAGGGGUUCCCACCACCAUCCUCCCCCCUCAGCAGCUGCACACACCUGCUCAGAGGCCGCCGGGGCCCUUCCUCUGCUCCCUGUUGCCACUUCCAAAGUCCACUUCCACAUGGGCCAGUGGGCAAAGGGCAGCCUCUGCUCCUCCACCUCGCGCCAGCCACCCACUCGGCUCCCGGGGGAUUCCUGCUGCUCUUUGCAUCCUGAGGGUCUCCUCUCCCAUCACUUGGGUCUCCUCCCACCCAAGGGACUGAGUAUCUCAUCCAUGUCACCAUGCCGCCUGCUCCUGCACCAGGACCCACCACGGCCUGUGGGAUGAGCUCUGCUCCCAGGAGGUUCACAGGAUACAAGGACAGGAGCAACCAUCCAUCAAGGCACAUUGUCACCAGCGUGGCAGACAGCAAGCCCCAGGUGUGGAGGGGACAAGCUCUCACAAGCUCACAUUUUUGGGCCUGGUUCCUGUUUCACGUGGCAGCAGGGUCGGCCUCGACCCGGAGCCUGCCCCAACA
Motacilla alba alba is the source of this 1221-nucleotide long non-coding RNA. RefSeq lists it as uncharacterized. The record is from RefSeq and is a predicted model, not a curated record. The transcript is spliced from 3 exons. Lineage: Eukaryota; Metazoa; Chordata; Aves; Passeriformes; Motacillidae.